GUCGGCAAAUUGACACCGUAACUUCGGAAGAAGGUGUGCCGCUAGUAGGUGAAGGUGUACAACUGGAGCCAAACGCGGUUGCAAAAAAUAGGUGGCUGCGACUGUUUAUUAAAAACACAGCACUCUGCAAACACGAAAGUGGACGUAUAGGGUGUGACGCCUGCCCGGUGCCGGAAGGUUAAAUGAUGGGGUGCAAGCUCUUGAUUGAAGCCCCGGUAAACGGCGGCCGUAACGAUAACGGUCCUAAGGUAGCGAAAUUCCUUGUCGGGUAAGUUCCGACCUGCACGAAUGGCGUAACGAUGGCCACACUGUCUCCAACCGAGACUCAGCGAAGUUGAAAUGUUUGCGAUGAUGCAAUCUACCUGCGGCUAGACGGAAAGACCCCGUGCACCUUUACUGUAGCUUUGCAUGGGACUGUGAACCGAUCUGUGUAGGAUAGCUGGGAGGCUUUGAAGUGGGGGCGCUAGCCCUCAUGGAGCCAACGUUGAAAUACCAGCCUGGUUUGUUUGCGGUUCUAACCUACGCUCGUGAAUCCGGGCGGGGGACAGUGCAUGGUAGGCAGUUUGACUGGGGCGGUCUCCUCCCAAAGAGUAACGGAGGAGCUCGAAGGUACGCUAGGUACGGUCGGAAAUCGUACUGAUAGUGCAAUAGCAUAAGCGUGCUUAACUGCGAGACUGACAAGUCGAGCAGGUGCGAAAGCAUGACAUAGUGAUCCGGUGGUUCUGUAUGGAAGGGCCAUCGCUCAACGGAUAAAAGGUACGCCGGGGAUAACAGGCUGAUGACCCCAAGAGUUCAUAUCGACGGGGUCGUUUGGCACCUCGAUGUCGGCUCAUCACAUCCUGGGGCUGUAGCCGGUCCCAAGGGUAUGGCUGUUCGCCAUUUAAAGUGGUACGUGAGCUGGGUUUAAAACGUCGUGAGACAGUUUGGUCCCUAUCUGCCGUGGGCGUUGGACAUUUGAAGGGGGCUGCUCCUAGUACGAGAGGACCGGAGUGGACGAACCUCUGGUGUACCGGUUGUGACGCCAGUCGCAUCGUCGGGUAGCUAAGUUCGGAAGAGAUAACCGCUGAAAGCAUCUAAGCGGGAAACUCGCCUUAAGAUGAGAUGUCCCGGGGACUUGAUCCCCCUAAAGGGUCGCGGAAGACCACCGCGUUGAUAGGCUGGGUGUGGAAGCGCAGUAAUGCGUUAAGCUAACCAGUACUAAUUGCCCGUGCGGCUUGAUCCG
Molecule: ribosomal RNA, 1222 nt
Filed under: metagenome
Description: bacterial LSU rRNA
Rfam family: Bacterial large subunit ribosomal RNA
Source: RNAcentral